Molecule: ribosomal RNA, 757 nt
Filed under: uncultured bacterium
Lineage: Bacteria
Description: bacterial SSU rRNA
Rfam family: Bacterial small subunit ribosomal RNA
Source: RNAcentral
GAGUUUGAUCCUAGCUCAGGGCCGAACGCUGGCGGCGUGCCUAACACAUGCAAGUCGAACGGAGUUGAGUGCUUCGGUAUUCAACUUAGUGGCAAACGGGUGAGUAACGCGUGAGGAACCUGCCUUUCAGUGGGGGACAACAGUUGGAAACGACUGCUAAUACCGCAUGAUACUUUUUGGGGGCAUCCCCGAAAAGUCAAAGAUUUAUUGCUGAAAGAUGGCCUCGCGUCUGAUUAGCUAGUUGGCGGGGUAACGGCCCACCAAGGCGACGAUCAGUAGCCGGUCUGAGAGGAUGAACGCCACAUUGGGACUGAGAUACGGCCCAGACUCCUACGGGAGGCAGCAGUGGGGAAUAUUGGGCAAUGGGGGAAACCCUGACCCAGCAACGCCGCGUGAAGGAAGAAGGCCCUCGGGUUGUAAACUUCUUUUACCAGGGACGAAGGACGUGACGGUACCUGGAGAAAAAGCAACGGCUAACUACGUGCCAGCAGCCGCGGUAAUACGUAGGUUGCAAGCGUUGUCCGGAUUUACUGGGUGUAAAGGGCGUGUAGGCGGAGCUGCAAGUCAGAUGUGAAAUCCUGGGGCUUAACCCCGGAACUGCAUUUGAAACUGUAGCCCUUGAGUAUCGGAGAGGCAAGCGGAAUUCCUAGUGUAGCGGUGAAAUGCGUAGAUAUUAGGAGGAACACCAGUGGCGAAGGCGGCUUGCUGGACGACAACUGACGCUGAGGCGCGAAAGCGUGGGGAGCAAACAGGAUUA